GCAGAGACGGCAGCGGCGGCGGCGGCGGCGGCAGCGGCGGCCAGCAGCAGCAAAGAAGCAGCAGCCGCUUGAGGCCGGGAGACCGAACCCGGGGACAAGGUGCAAAACCCGGCCCGGACUCUCUCCUGGCGGGAGUGGAGAAAGGCACACACCAAUCACUCUCCUUCUCCCUUUCCCCUCACCUCCCUCUCCCUUCGCCCCUCCCCGCGCCCCCAACCUUACAACUGCCCUGAGAAUAGGAAGCCCCAGCUGCCAGAAAAAAGAAAAAAGAAAGAUCCUGAUGGAUCCCGGGAAUGAAUCAACUUUUGACCUGUGAACGUAAACGCCGAGUUUCUUCAAGGAGAUGAUUAGUUUGAUAGACCAGAAAUAAUAUCCUAAAACCUGGACUUAACUCAUUUCAAGAGCAUCAUCGAAUUAAAUAUUUUAGUUUGGCAAGAAAAGUAGCGUUUUCCUUGCACUCGACUAGCAACUCGUGCUUGGCUUUAAAAUGGGAUGUCAACAAAUAAGGUAUUUCACAUUAUUUUGUUAAGCCUUACAGAUUGUUCUUUUAGGGUAAAAAUACACCCCCGUUUUCUAAAAUAGCCGGGAAUAAAGGAACUUUGGAUCUCAUGCAUUACUCAUGAGAUCUGAUUUAAACCAUCUUCAUUUCUUGGCAUUGCAGAUUAGCAUAGGAUGCUAUUUCUAACCUCAUAAUGUCAGUGAUAAGGAACUGUUUUCUCCCCAUUCAUUAAUCAGGUCUAUAAUGUGAACUCUAUCUUUUACAUAGGCUGCCUUACUGAGAACAGGCUGUAAUACAAUGCUGAUUAUAAUGGUCUCGAAAUAUCUCUAAAUUAGAAAACAAAAUGCUAGAAGUGACUUCUUUUGGACUUUCCAUACUUUUAGGGAAAGAAAUGGGACUGGAUGUUACACUUUACACUAUAGUACAAGGAUCCUGAAACUACAAGAUUCUUGUUUCUAAAUCCUGCCUCCUGAGUUUCUUAGAUGUGACAGAGCAGAACCAUUUCAUCUUUCUGAACCUCAAUUUCCUCACAGGUAAACUGAUGAUCAGAGGCAACGUGAUGUAAUGGGUGGAAUGCCUGGAAAGACUUGGUUGAAAUCCUGAGUACUACUAUCUCUAACAACUUAAUAUGAUCCUACCCAGAAAAUCCACUAGGAUUUGUCAAUAAAGCUUUGAUCUAAUUGUGGAUGUGAUUAGUGUUUGGGGAAGAAUUUCCCCCAUCAGGACUUCCCUGAAUGCCCCACAGGAUGAUCUAUCUAUAGUGCCUGCAUCACAAGAGGGUCG
This 1282-nucleotide long non-coding RNA is filed under the name Sarcophilus harrisii (Tasmanian devil). RNAcentral describes it as "lncRNA (ENSSHAG00000021058.1)". The record is from RNAcentral. Lineage: Eukaryota; Metazoa; Chordata; Mammalia; Dasyuromorphia; Dasyuridae.